GUCCCGUCUGCCGGUGGAGGAUCUAGAACAAAUCGCAGCACCGGCUCCAUUAAUCUACUCUGCGGUGAUGAUCGCCUCUUCAGCAAAGCAUAUUCCGCUUCCCACCCCGCAUUUCGCCAAGCCCAAGCGCCACCGCCGCUCAGGCCCAGCCCGCAUGGACCCCACCGACCAGUCGCCGGAGGAGGUGUACUCCGUGUGGGCCCUCCCGCCGGAGCCCGUCCGCGACCGCCUCCGCGGCCUCAUGGCCGGCCUCCGCGCCGCGCACGGCGGCCCGCCCUUCGAGCCGCACGCCACCGUCGUCGGCGCCGUGCGCAUGCGCCGCCCCGCCGCAAUCCAGGCCCUCCGCGCCGCCGCCGCCGCCGCCGGCGUCGCCCCCUACACCGCCCGCGUCACCGGCGUCGCCCGCGGCGACUUCUUCUACCAGUGCGUCUACCUCCUCCUCGAGCCCACCCCCGAGGUGAUCCAGACAAGCGACCACUUCUGCGCCCACUUCGGGUUUCAGAGAUCAACCCCAUAUAUGCCACAUGUAAGUCUCCUGUAUGGGGAUCUAACAGACGAAGAGAAGGAAGCAGCAAGGAAGAAAGUAGAGGAAAUGGGCAGUGAAAUUUCUGGACUGCAGUUUGAGAUCUCCGAGCUCGCACUUUAUCGAACGGAUACUGAGGAUAAAAGCUUGGAGUCCUGGGAACUGGUGGAGGUAUGCCACCUUGGGAAGAAGUGAUCGGUUCCUCCCGAUGAUAUGCUUCUGCUGGUCAUUAUUCCAUUCUAAUUCAGGGAUUACAGAAAUGGACUGGUAGGAACAGGAAAACAUAUGCUUGCAACCCACUUAAUUGCACUCAGGGGAUAGAGCCUUGUCACGGCAAUAUUGUUUACAGGGUGAAUUGUUUCUGCUGGGUCCUGCCAAGUUGCGGCGAUACUCUAUAUUGGAACAGGGCCACCACUCUUUUGAUAUCGACAAAAAGGUCGAGCAGGCGUGCCCUGGAAAGCUCCUCCUCCUAGCUUAGGCAUUACUUCCAGUUUGGCACGUAAAGGAUGCUGGUAUUUUCUGUUAGUUCGUCAUCUCAAUGAUAUAGGUAUCCUGCUGUCGCCGUCGUUUGACAAAAAGAGAAGAAAAUAUGGAUGCCCUAUAUCAGAAUGAUCAUCAGUUUCUCCCGAUCGACGGAGGCCUCAAAACUGAAGAUGAUCCUUCCAGCGCACUCUGUUUUCAGAUGUAUACUAUCCACAGAAGGGGGUAUCGGAGGGGUGCUGGUGCAUUAUUGGUUGUUCUCCCCUAUCCACGCACGUACAUGGAAAUGGAAUAAAGGCGGCGUCAGGGAUUCAUCUAGUAAGUCCCCGUCCCCUGAUUCUUGAUGCGGAUAUGACGACGUUGAGCCGCUGCCACUCGCCGGAUGGUCGGCGGAGGGGGCGUGCUGACGGCGACGCCCGGACUUUGACAGCUUUGUCUUCUCCCCUAAUUUUCUUUUUAUGAUCAGUAGAGUAAGUAUUUUUGUAUGAUCUUUUUUUUAGAAGAAGUAAUUUUUCUUUGAGAACAGAAGUAUUUUUUGUGAUCAGUAGAGAGUAACAAAGAACAGUCCAGGAGUGGGUGGGCUGUUGGCGGCCCCCUGUGUGGGCCGUGGCAAUGCUAGUAGUGAGUGUCUGGGCUUAGCCCAGCGUAAGCCGCACCGUGGGCCUUGCAGAAAAUAUUACGCGGGCCAUCUUGUUAUUUUCGUACUACGUCUCCUAGAAAAUGUGGUCCUGUAACGCUGGGACUUAAUAGUUCUGUCUGUACCCUAAAAUAAAGAUUAUGCUAAAAAAAUGGGAAAUGAUUGGU
Molecule: ribosomal RNA, 1807 nt
Filed under: Triticum aestivum (bread wheat)
Lineage: Eukaryota; Viridiplantae; Streptophyta; Magnoliopsida; Poales; Poaceae
Description: partial small subunit ribosomal RNA
Source: RNAcentral